AGAGUUUGAUCAUGGCUCAGAACUAACGCUGGCGGCGUGCCUAACACAUGCAAGUCGUACGAGAAAGUCGGCUUCGGCCGAUGAGUAAAGUGGCGCACGGGUGAGUAAUGCGUGGAUAAUCUGCCCUUGAGUUCGGAAUAACGUACCGAAAGGUGCGCUAAUACCGGAUAAUACUGCACAACUACUGUUGUGUAGUCAAAGAUGGCCUCUGUUUACAAGCUUUUGCUGAAGGAUGAGUCCGCGUACCAUUAGCUAGUUGGUGGGGUUAUGGCCUACCAAGGCGACGAUGGUUAGCUGGUCUGAGAGGAUGAUCAGCCACACUGGAACUGAGACACGGUCCAGACUCCUACGGGAGGCAGCAGUGAGGAAUAUUGCGCAAUGGGGGCAACCCUGACGCAGCAACGCCGCGUGAGUGAGGAAGGUUUUCGGACCGUAAAGCUCUGUCGAGCGGGAAGAAAUGCAUGGUGGCUAAUAUCCAUCAUGCUUGACGGUACCGCUAGAGGAAGCACCGGCUAACUCCGUGCCAGCAGCCGCGGUAAUACGGGGGGUGCAAGCGUUGUUCGGAAUUAUUGGGCGUAAAGAGCGUGUAGGCGGCUGAAUAAGUCAGAUGUGAAAUCCCUGGGCUUAACCCAGGACGUGCAUUUGAAACUAUUCAGCUUGAGUAAGGGAGAGGAAAGUGGAAUUCCUGGUGUAGAGGUGAAAUUCGUAGAUAUCAGGAGGAACACCGGUGGCGAAGGCGACUUUCUGGCCCUAUACUGACGCUGAGACGCGAGAGCGUGGGUAGCAAACAGGAUUAGAUACCCUGGUAGUCCACGCUGUAAACGAUGUUCACUA
Molecule: ribosomal RNA, 834 nt
Filed under: uncultured bacterium
Lineage: Bacteria
Description: bacterial SSU rRNA
Rfam family: Bacterial small subunit ribosomal RNA
Source: RNAcentral